UAACAAGGUCUCCGUUGGUGAACCAGCGGAGGGAUCAUUACCGAGUUUUCAACUCCCAAACCCUUAUGUGAACCUACCUAUCGUUGCUUCGGCGGACUCGCCCCAGCCGGACGCGGACUGGACCAGCGGCCGCCGGGGACCAUCAAACUCUUGUAUUAUCAGCAUCUUCUGAAUACGCCGCAAGGCAAAACAAAUAAAUUAAAACUUUCAACAACGGAUCUCUUGGCUCUGGCAUCGAUGAAGAACGCAGCGAAAUGCGAUAAGUAAUGUGAAUUGCAGAAUCCAGUGAAUCAUCGAAUCUUUGAACGCACAUUGCGCCCGCCAGCAUUCUGGCGGGCAUGCCUGUUCGAGCGUCAUUUCAACCCUCGACCUCCCUUUGGGGAAGUCGGCGUUGGGGACCGGCAGCACACCGCCGGCCCUGAAAUGGAGUGGCGGCCCGUCCGCGGCGACCUCUGCGUAGUAAACCAACUCGCACCGGAACCCCGACGUGGCCACGCCGUAAAACACCCAACUUCUGAACGUUGACCUCGAAUCAGGUAGGACUACCCGCUGAACUUAAGCAUAUCAA
This 568-nucleotide ribosomal RNA is filed under the name Beauveria bassiana. RNAcentral's name for it is "eukaryotic LSU rRNA". The stretch from base 203 to 356 matches the Rfam family "5.8S ribosomal RNA". The record is from RNAcentral. Lineage: Eukaryota; Fungi; Ascomycota; Sordariomycetes; Hypocreales; Cordycipitaceae.